This 624-nucleotide ribosomal RNA is filed under the name Oxalobacteraceae bacterium Se2Ps_2397. RNAcentral describes it as "bacterial SSU rRNA". It matches the Rfam family "Bacterial small subunit ribosomal RNA", at positions 391 to 1008 of the family's 1533-position model. Lineage: Bacteria; Pseudomonadati; Pseudomonadota; Betaproteobacteria; Burkholderiales; Oxalobacteraceae. The record is from RNAcentral.
GCAAUGCCGCGUGAGUGAAGAAGGCCUUCGGGUUGUAAAGCUCUUUUGUCAGGGAAGAAAAGGGAUUGGCUAAUAUCUGGUCCUCAUGACGGUACCUGAAGAAUAAGCACCGGCUAACUACGUGCCAGCAGCCGCGGUAAUACGUAGGGUGCAAGCGUUAAUCGGAAUUACUGGGCGUAAAGCGUGCGCAGGCGGUUUUGUAAGACUGUCGUGAAAUCCCCGGGCUCAACCUGGGAAUGGCGAUGGUGACUGCAAGGCUAGAGUUUGGCAGAGGGGGGUAGAAUUCCACGUGUAGCAGUGAAAUGCGUAGAUAUGUGGAGGAACACCGAUGGCGAAGGCAGCCCCCUGGGUCAAAACUGACGCUCAUGCACGAAAGCGUGGGGAGCAAACAGGAUUAGAUACCCUGGUAGUCCACGCCCUAAACGAUGUCUACUAGUUGUCGGGUCUUAAUUGACUUGGUAACGCAGCUAACGCGUGAAGUAGACCGCCUGGGGAGUACGGUCGCAAGAUUAAAACUCAAAGGAAUUGACGGGGACCCGCACAAGCGGUGGAUGAUGUGGAUUAAUUCGAUGCAACGCGAAAAACCUUACCUACCCUUGACAUGGAUGGAAUCUUCGAGAGAUU